GAUGAACGCUGGCGGCGUGCCUAAUACAUGCAAGUCGAGCGAACAGACGAGGAGCUUGCUCCUCUGACGUUAGCGGCGGACGGGUGAGUAACACGUGGAUAACCUACCUAUAAGACUGGGAUAACUUCGGGAAACCGGAGCUAAUACCGGAUAAUAUAUUGAACCGCAUGGUUCAAUAGUGAAAGACGGUUUUGCUGUCACUUAUAGAUGGAUCCGCGCCGCAUUAGCUAGUUGGUAAGGUAACGGCUUACCAAGGCAACGAUGCGUAGCCGACCUGAGAGGGGGAUAGGCGACACGGGAACUGAGACGCGGUCCAGACUACUACGGGAGGCAGCAGUAGGGAAUCUGCCGCAAAGGGCGAAAGCUUGACGGAGCAACGCCGCGUGAGUGAUGAAGGUCUUCGGAUCGUAAAACUCUGUUAUUAGGGAAGAACAAAUGUGUAAGUAACUAUGCACGUCUUGACGGUACCUAAUCAGAAAGCCACGGCUAACUACGUG
This 497-nucleotide ribosomal RNA is filed under the name uncultured bacterium. RNAcentral's name for it is "partial 16S ribosomal RNA". It matches the Rfam family "Bacterial small subunit ribosomal RNA", at positions 28 to 507 of the family's 1533-position model. The record is from RNAcentral.